CCCAACUGAUUGAUGGUGCUUGCACCUGAUUGACUAUGGAUCACCAGUGAGUGGCGGACGGGUGAGUAACACGUAGGUGACCUGCCCCGGAGCGGGGGAUAACAUUUGGAAACAGAUGCUAAUACCGCAUAACAACGAAAGCCACAUGGCUUUUGUUUGAAAGAUGGCUUUGGCUAUCACUCUGGGAUGGACCUGCGGUGCAUUAGCUAGUUGGUAAGGUAACGGCUUACCAAGGCGAUGAUGCAUAGCCGAGUUGAGAGACUGAUCGGCCACAAUGGAACUGAGACACGGUCCAUACUCCUACGGGAGGCAGCAGUAGGGAAUCUUCCACAAUGGGCGCAAGCCUGAUGGAGCAACACCGCGUGAGUGAAGAAGGGUUUCGGCUCGUAAAGCUCUGUUGUUGGAGAAGAACGUGCGUGAGAGUAACUGUUCACGCAGUGACGGUAUCCAACCAGAAAGUCACGGCUAACUACGUGCCAGCAGCCGCGGUAAUACGUAGGUGGCAAGCGUUAUCCGGAUUUAUUGGGCGUAAAGCGAGCGCAGGCGGUUGCUUAGGUCUGAUGUGAAAGCCUUCGGCUUAACCGAAGAAGUGCAUCGGAAACCGGGCGACUUGAGUGCAGAAGAGGACAGUGGAACUCCAUGUGUAGCGGUGGAAUGCGUAGAUAUAUGGAAGAACACCAGUGGCGAAGGCGGCUGUCUGGUCUGCAACUGACGCUGAGGCUCGAAAGCAUGGGUAGCGAACAGGAUUAGAUACCCUGGUAGUCCAUGCC
This 770-nucleotide ribosomal RNA is filed under the name uncultured bacterium. RNAcentral describes it as "bacterial SSU rRNA". It matches the Rfam family "Bacterial small subunit ribosomal RNA", at positions 61 to 801 of the family's 1533-position model. The record is from RNAcentral.